UGGCGGACGGGUGAGUAAUGUCUGGGAAACGUGCCUGAUGGAGGGGGAUAACUACUGGAAACGGUAGCUAUACCGCAUAACGUCGCAAGACCAAAGAGGGGGACCUUCGGGCCUCUUGCCAUCGGAUGUGCCCAGAUGGGAUUAGCUAGUAGGUGGGGUAACGGCUCACCUAGGCGACGAUCCCUAGCUGGUCUGAGAGGAUGACCAGCCACACUGGAACUGAGACACGGUCCAG
This 235-nucleotide ribosomal RNA is filed under the name uncultured bacterium. Its description in RNAcentral is "partial 16S ribosomal RNA". It matches the Rfam family "Bacterial small subunit ribosomal RNA", at positions 96 to 334 of the family's 1533-position model. The record is from RNAcentral.